RNAcentral lists this long non-coding RNA (575 nucleotides) under Gossypium barbadense (sea-island cotton). Its description in RNAcentral is "long non-coding RNA (GBAR_LNC019106)". Lineage: Eukaryota; Viridiplantae; Streptophyta; Magnoliopsida; Malvales; Malvaceae. The record is from RNAcentral.
UCCCAAAUGAUAAAAACUUGAUUUAAUCUUUUAAAAAAUAUAAAGAUAUAGACUAUUAGAAUAGUAAAUUUACCUUUUUACUAUUAUAAAAGAUAUAUAAUUUAAUUCCAACCCCUCAAAAAAAUUUUUUGACUUCGCCCUAAUUAAACCCCUAAUUUCAGAUUGCCGAAGAUGAAGCCAUGAUCUACUUUGAGCUUUGUUUAACGAGGAUGACCGGAAGGCAAUAUCCAUGAUUCCAAUUGGAGGUGUUGAUAAAAAAGGUAACACUCAUAUGGCAUCACUCUUCGAAUGGAAGUGACAUAUCUCGUGCUUUCGAUCAUCCUCAACCAAUGGGCUCUUGUGUGAAAACACCAUGGAAGAUCCAUGAACUAUAUGAGACGUAGAGCGGGUUGCAACAUAUCCUUUUCUUUUGCCCUUCUUCUCAAGGCGCCGUUUGGAAGGCUUCCUCCUUCCACUACACUCUGGCUUUCAUGGGAUUCGGAUCCUUUGCAAGCUGGUGGAUGAAGAUUGACCAAAAGCUGCCCAAAUUUGGAGCUUUCUAUAGUAUCAAUCUUAUAGAUGCUACAACAUUUGGA